This 587-nucleotide ribosomal RNA is filed under the name uncultured bacterium. RNAcentral's name for it is "bacterial SSU rRNA". It matches the Rfam family "Bacterial small subunit ribosomal RNA", at positions 338 to 916 of the family's 1533-position model. The record is from RNAcentral.
CCUACGGGAGGCAGCAGUGGGGAAUCUUGCGCAAUGCGCGAAAGCGUGACGCAGCAACGCCGCGUGGGGGAAGAAGGCUCUCGGGUCGUAAACCCCUUUCAGUUGGGACGAAGCUUCUCCGGUGAAUAGCCGGACGGAGUGACGGUACCUUCACAAGAAGCCCCGGCUAACUACGUGCCAGCAGCCGCGGUAAUACGUAGGGGGCAAGCGUUGUCCGGAAUCAUUGGGCGUAAAGCGCGUGUAGGCGGCUUGAUAAGUCUGUUGUGAAAGUCCAGGGCUCAACCCUGGAAUGCCGAUGGAUACUGUCAAGCUCGAGUCCGGAAGAGGCGAGUGGAAUUCCUGGUGUAGCGGUGAAAUGCGCAGAUAUCAGGAGGAACACCAAUGGCGAAGGCAGCUCGCUGGGACGGUACUGACGCUGAGACGCGAAAGCGUGGGGAGCAAACAGGAUUAGAUACCCUGGUAGUCCACGCCGUAAACGAUGGGCACUAGGUGUGGGAGGUAUUGACCCCUUCCGUGCCGAAGCUAACGCAUUAAGUGCCCCGCCUGGGGAGUACGGCCGCAAGGUUAAAACUCAAAGGAAUUGACGG